Molecule: ribosomal RNA, 255 nt
Filed under: uncultured prokaryote
Description: partial 16S ribosomal RNA
Rfam family: Bacterial small subunit ribosomal RNA
Source: RNAcentral
UGAGGAAUUUUGCGCAAUGGGCGAAAGCCUGACGCAGCGACGCCGCGUGGACGAAGAAGGCCUUCGGGUUGUAAAGUCCUGUCAGUGGGAAAGAUAAUGACGGUACCUGCUGAGGAAGCUCCGGCUGACUCCGUGCCAGCAGCCGCGGUAAGACGGAGGGAGCAAGCGUUGUCCGGAAUUACUGGGCGUAAAGAGCUCGUAGGCGGGGGCUUAAUUCUGGUAGUAAAUUCACCGGCUCAACUUGUUACUCAUCCU